This is a long non-coding RNA of Numida meleagris (helmeted guineafowl), 899 nucleotides long. The record is from Ensembl. Lineage: Eukaryota; Metazoa; Chordata; Aves; Galliformes; Numididae.
CCAACAAUGUCACCCAUCUACCCCAACAAUGUCACCCAUUGGGUGUCCCCAGCAGUGUCACCCAUUGUCCCCAACCAUGUCACCCACUGUCCCCAACCAUGUCACCCAUUGUCCCCAACAGCGUCACCCAUUGGUUGUCCCCAACAACGUCACCCAUUGUCCCCAACAACGUCACCCAUUGUCCCCAACAAUGUCACCCAUUGACCCCAACAAUGUCACCCGCCGGGUGUCCCCAGCAGUGUCACCCAUUGGUUGUCCCCAACAACGUCACCCAUUGUCCCCAACAACGUCACCCAUUGUCCCCAACAAUGUCACCCAUUGACCCCAACCAUGUCACCCAUUGUCCCCAACAGCGUCACCCAAUGUUGUCCCCAACAAUGCCACCCAUUGACCCCAACCAUGUCACCCCCUGGGUGUCCCCAACAGCGUCACCCAAUGUCCCCAACAGCGUCACCCAUUGACCCCAGCAGUGUCACCCAUUGGGUGUCCCCAACGUCACCUAUUGUCCCCAACAAUGUCACCCAUUGUCCCCAACACUGUCACCCAUUGUCCCCAACAGCGCCAGCCAUUGGUUGUCCCCAACAACGUCACCCAUUGUCCCCAACGUCACCCAUUGACCCCAACCAUGUCACCCAAUGUCCCCAACAAUGUCACCCAUUGUCCCCAGCAGCAUCACCCAUUGGGUGUCCCCAACGUCACCCAUUGUCCCCAACAAUGUCACCCAUUGGGUAUCCCCAACAGUGUCACCCAUUGACCCCAGCCAUGUCACCCAUUGUCCCCAACAGCGUCACCCAUUGGUUGUCCCCAACAGCGUCACCCAUUGCCCCCAACAGUGUCACCCAUUGUCCCCAACAAUGUCACCCAUUGACCCCAACAGCGUCACCCACUGGUUGUCCCCA